Molecule: unclassified non-coding RNA, 433 nt
Filed under: Hevea brasiliensis (rubber tree)
Lineage: Eukaryota; Viridiplantae; Streptophyta; Magnoliopsida; Malpighiales; Euphorbiaceae
Source: RNAcentral
GGAUGAUCGAUCCACAUACAACAGAUACAAAAAAACAACAUAUCCAGUGUAAUUCCAACAAGUGGAGUUAUCCACGUACAACAUAUAUGUACAGAAACACAUCGUCCGAGUCUCGUGAAAUAUAUGAAGAUUCAUUUCGUUGGAAGAAAGUAUCCUAAAGUUACUCUAAAACCUAACUUCAUACCUGACAAACCUGGACGUUAGCAAUGGUCAGGAUCUUCUCACUUGUUUAAUCAGAAGCAAAAAAUAAGAGCCGUGUAAGUCGGGCAUCCGAUAUAAUAUCAUUCAAAGUUCAUCCGUCCAUCCAAUGUUGUACAUAAUGAUAUUGCAAAAGGCUGCUAACAAUUGAUAAUGUUCUGUGACAUACUUGACCUUAACAUAUUGUCAACAAUUUCAGCUCUUCUUAUUUCUAGCUUCUGCUUUCCAAUUUCUC